CCCACGGUGAUAGUGGGACAAAAACAGAUGUGGUAGCAUAUUAAAGUGACAAUGGUGGUCAGGAAAAAGUCCCCCUGAGAGACGCCGCCCUAACUGGCUCUGGCUCUUGAAGAAUAGAAAGAACCUAGUCUCACAAAAAAAAAAAAAAAAACUAUAGCAAAGGUCCAGAGAACAGCCAUUGCAAAGCCCCUGAGGGCAGCAUGUGUGUUGCAGGCCUGAGGAACAGAAGAGUACGUGACUUCAGCAUCAUGCAGAAGGAAAGUGGAGACAAAGGGUGAAGACAGGUUAUACGCCAUGGCUGCUCUCCUCACAGCCCCAAGAGCAUUGCCAGAUCAAUGUCUUUGCCUUCUGGACUUGACACCAGGUCUCUGUACCCUGAACUCAUCUUCACUGAGCCUUGCCUUUGCCCCUGGGAAAUGCUCCCACCGCGGUUGGCCUCAGGCUGGGGCUGCUACGUCUCUCCUCUGAGCUUCCUAUUCAAUCAGUACAUCGGAACAUAGAUCCAUGAUGAAAAUGUCUGGUUUUAAGUCAAAACUCCAGUUCAAGUUCUGAGCGCACUUACGCUCUUGGCAAAAUUACUUUCCACAUCUGACCUCCAUUUCUCCGUCUUCCCUACAGCGAGAGGAGGGAUGGUGAUAGCAACAGUAGUAGCGCUCCACAGAAUUUUCAUGAAGACAAAACAUCCUUCUCAAAGCUCCUGGUCCACAGAAAACACUCCCCACACAGGAGCAGGUGUGUUAUCAACAGUGUUGUUAACAGCAGAGAAGAACCAGUUUACAGUGAGGACUUGAGGUUCAACAUUUAAAAUCUAAGAACGCAGGUCAGGCAUGGUGCCACACACCUGUAAUCUCCGUACUGGAGAGGUUGUGGCAGGAUGAUUGCAAGAUCAAGGCCAGCCUGAACUAUAGAAAGAGACCUUAGCUCAAUUUCUUUUUUAAAUCUACAAACCCAGAGAAAGGUAACAGCACACUUUUAUGACUACAUAAGAAAAGCUGGAGUCACUGCAGUCCCCGAGGGGCAGAAGGGCUGGGGGGUUACUCAGUGGUCAGCAUCACUGUGUGCAUUUGUUAAAAGAACAAGUUGCUCCAUCUCACAGCAGACAUGCCUGCUAAGGGGAGAGAGCAGGCAUUCAAGGAAACAGAAUAGAAUUCUGGGGCUGGUGAGACAGGCAAAGGAACCUGACAUGCUGUUUGAUCCCUGGGACCCACAGGCUCCAAGGACAGAGCUGACUAUGGCAAGUUGUCUUCUGAAAACAAUUCUGAUGCUGAGCUGGGCUGGAGUGAAGAUUUCCACAACAAAAUAAAGAUGAUUGUGCACUCCCAACACUGAAUCCCAGAAAAAUCCAUCAAAUGCUGUAAAGGAGACGACAGAAGAAAAGACAUUAAGAAUGACUAAAAUCAAGAAGUGCCGGUUUCCUGAUCCUGAGUUAGCCAAGAGAAGACACAAAUCAAAUCCAGGGAGAUGCAGGGGAGGCCCAAUGUCUGACGAUGCAAGGAACCCAGCAAAACAAUCUCCUGGGACACAGGUAGAAGAGGCAGGGUCAGAAGCCAAAGCACAUUUGUGCUGGAGCCAGAAGGAUAAGAGCCCAUCACCAUCCUGACAGGAAAGCAUGGCAGCAGGCGGGUAUGGCAAUCAAACAGCAAGCUGAGAGCCGAGAGCUGAGAGCUCACAUCUUAAACCACGGAUGGGAAGCAGAGAGAACUUGAAGUGGUGAGAGUCUCUGAACUUGGAAAAUCUGUCCCCAGUGAUGUGCUUCCUCCAGCAAGGCCACACCUCCCAAGCCUCCCUAAGCAGUGCCAAUAACCAAGUAUUCAAAAGCCAAAGGCCAUGGAGACAUCUGUCAUUCUAACCACAGUUCCUGAUUAGUCAGCCAUGUUCCAGUGAUGGCUUCACACCUAUUCGUACCGAGCAGCACAAAUUAGAUGGUAUAAAAAAAAAUCUUUUAAGGACAUGAAGCUGGGGAGAGGGUAAAGGGUGGAUCUGGGAGAAGUUAGAGAGAGGACUGGGAAUGAGUAUGAUCAAAUAUAUUGUAAGCCUUAUGAAAUGCUCAAAGAAUAACAAUCAUAUUUUGAAGAAAUGCUGGACCCCUGAAGGUUAUGCUCACCUCCCAUUUCUCAGUGUGCUCUUGAUGCCAGCACAAGCUUCUUUCAGGUCACUUCACCCCAGUGUCUUCUAAUCUGUCCCGAUUUUGUUUUGAGUGCCAUGUAUACUGAACCUCUUUGAAAAGUUCUCCAGUUGUGAAAGUGGCCUAUCACCCUGUGUGACAGACCUUUUCUUGGAGCUAAGUGCCUAACUUGGGGUGAAAAACAAUCUCUGAAAUUAAAACCAGCAUGGCAGAUGGCAGAUACAUUUAUCCGUUGGGGCCAAAUCUACUAGCUACCUAUAUACUAUGUUGACAUAAAUUUGAAAGACUCAGACAAUCUAAACAAGAAAGAAUACUGGCCUGAGUGUGUGUAUGUGAGUGUAUUGUGUGUGUGUGUGUGUGUGUGUGUGUGUGUUUAGAGAGACAGUGUGUGUGUG
Cricetulus griseus (Chinese hamster) is the source of this 2520-nucleotide non-coding RNA. The record is from RefSeq and is a predicted model, not a curated record. NCBI's taxonomy places the organism in Eukaryota, Metazoa, Chordata, Mammalia, Rodentia, Cricetidae.